CUGCCGCACCGGCCCGUGGGCCGCAGCAUGCACGCGUCCGCUCCUCCACCGACAGCGGGGCCCACAUGCCGCUACCGUCUGUUACAUCCUUCGGCCCUUCCUUUUCUUCCCCACGCCCGGCAGCCGGUCGACAAAAUGUCCACAUGCCGCUUUGCUGCCGUGCUUGACCGCAACACCUCCACUGCACAGUCUGCACCGGCACCUCCCGACACCACGCCGCCACUCGCAGCCCCUCUGCCACCCCUGGAAUAGCGCUUUCACACGCCGAGCCACGAGUUCGCGACGUCCAUCUUGCUGGUCUCCGCCGCCGUGCGCGUACACAGGUCCGCCCCUGCGCCAGCACCGCUCGCUGCUGCGCCGCUGUCGGCCGACACGCGCUCUGCCCUGUCCCAUCGUGCCGCUCCGUUUCGUCUCCGCACUCGGCACCGGCGAAAAAUAACUCCCCGAGCCACCGCCCGUCCUCUAGCGCUACCCAUCACCUACCGCGCCUCACUCUACCACUCUAGCGCCUGCUCGGGCUCGACCUUCGCGAGCGACACUCACCGUCGCCGCACUCGCUCUCCGCUUCACGCCGCCAAGCCACCACCAACACCUUCCAUUCUCCACCAUGCCGCCGCCAUCAAGUUCCCCUAAACCCAGUGACCCCAAUUAGGCCCUCGCCGGAGCCCGAUCGCAAUCAGAGCAAAUAUACCCAAAUCGGGGUCACCAUCGCCGCCGCCAUCGCAGGUCGAUCCUCGUCGCCGGCCAAGGACUGAAGCAAGGACAGACGGUGGCCACAGGUGUAAAUGAGUGAGGGAGUGCGCAGCGUGCCAGACAAAGGCAUUGUGACGUUGCGCUGCCAUGCUAGCCUAGAGCCCAGUGUGCAGCAUCGUUUCACCCACGGCAAGGCCCACCCUCUCCGCCCCAAACGCCAAAGCAUGCGUUGCCACCAUCCGACCAACACUCCCGCCGGCACGCAUGCCCUUUCAGAACGAAGAUUCGCCAUGCUGUUUCCUUCUUCCUCCGGACAGAUCCUGACGAACCCGUUGUGCGACGAGGAAAGAAUCAGGAAAGGGAUCGUUACCGCCACUACGCCUACCUGCACUCAAACGAUAGAUGCAUCACCACACUGUCAGUCACAUGGUGCUAGGAUAGGAGAUGAAGAAGAAACCGAAAUGGAAUUCGAGAUGAAAAUCAUCCCGGAAACAGAGUAAGGAUCGGUUGAAGUCCAAAUCGGCUACGACUAGGGUCGGCAGAGAUCGAGUCAGACAGGGUUAGCCGAUCGAGCCGAAUCUGACAAUGUGACACGACAUACAUUGUCGGGUUAGGUUGACGUGCUUCAAGAUGAUUGCCACACAUGGAUAGAGUCCUGAGAAGGCAAUUAUAUCUAUUAAUUAGGAUAUUUUAUGUAAUUUCCUUAGAGAUAUGUUUGGGCAAAAGUCUGCCACAAAGACUUAU
Molecule: non-coding RNA, 1437 nt
Organism: Oryza sativa Japonica Group (Japanese rice)
Lineage: Eukaryota; Viridiplantae; Streptophyta; Magnoliopsida; Poales; Poaceae
Source: RefSeq, a predicted model, not a curated record